Molecule: microRNA, 24 nt
Filed under: Mus musculus (house mouse)
Lineage: Eukaryota; Metazoa; Chordata; Mammalia; Rodentia; Muridae
Description: mmu-miR-3069-5p
Source: miRBase by way of RNAcentral
UUGGCAGUCAAGAUAUUGUUUAGC